RNAcentral lists this unclassified non-coding RNA (1755 nucleotides) under Hevea brasiliensis (rubber tree). Lineage: Eukaryota; Viridiplantae; Streptophyta; Magnoliopsida; Malpighiales; Euphorbiaceae. The record is from RNAcentral.
CAACCAUUGUACUUGUGAGCGACAAAGAAAAACAAUAAAUAAAAGGCCCAUCCAGAAGUAAUUCGCAGUCUUCUUCUACUUGAUAACUAAGAUAUAUUAAGGCAAUAACUAAGAUAUAAAAUCCAAAUAUCAUUUUAAACACCAAGAAGUUUAUAUUAAGCCAAUGCGUUACAUGACUUUUCAUGAAGCCAGCUUUUUAACUAUCUUAUCUGUACGGCUUUAUUCAAAUUUUCUCAUAGAAGCAGCUUUCGUAGCGUCCAGGCUACAGCUGAUUUUACAGAUUAAACAUGACCUUAAUGGCGCUACCACCACGAGCACUAGUUUCAAAGGCUUCUUCAACCUCCUUCUGUGAGAAACCAAACCUAUGGGUUAUCAGGGGCUUCACAUCAAUCUUACCGCUCCUCAAGAAUUCAAGACACAGUGGCCAUGUGUUCGUAUACCGGAAUACACCGAUGACAUCAACCUCCCUGAAAGAAAGGGCCAACAAAGAUAAAUUUCCAGAGCGAAAGUGAAUGUUUUUAGACCAUGAUUAUUGUGGCUUGAAUUACCCCAAAUUAUCCAUAAAUUAUUCCUCUUCACGCACUGACAGCUUUGAUCUCUACACAACCUUACAUUGAGUAAUCCCUGAAUUCUAAUUCCAUUCCACUAACUUGUUCACAUAAACAAAACUAAAAUAUUAGAGCAAAGCAACAUAGAAGCAAGUACCUCGCUGCAGCUGGUGUAAGAGGGACAGUCAUCUCAUUAUGGCCCAUUCCCACAAGGCAAACUUUACCACCCGGUCGAGUGGCACUCAGUGCUGUUGACAUGGUUUUGUUAAAGCCUGCACAGUCAAAAGUGACAUCCACUCCAGCUCCCAUGGCUUUAUGGAUCAGCAACACUUCCUCAGGUAUGUCCUGUACAUUUCAAAAUCUUAAAUGUAUAGCAAUUGACAUUAGGAUGAAGAGGAUGCAACUCAAUUUGGGCAGGUUCAGGUUACCUUCAAACCAGAACUAACCCAAUUGGUUCUCAUUUCUCAAGUAUUCGACCAAAACCAAUUGACUGUAACCCUUCUAGGUGGGUUUGGUUCUCUUAAGGUAUCCAUAAAACAAUAUCUUAUCUAUGUAAUUAUGAUACAUAUAAAACAAGUUCUACUCAGUUCUUGUCUACAAACCUUACUGAGUAAAUUGUAGCAUUUCUAUCUGAAGUCAGUUUCUGCAGCUAACUAGAGUUAUUUAAAAGCUGAAUAAACUAAAACCUCAAAGAUGACAGGUUGGGUCUGUUAACAAGAGGACUCCAAUUUGCACUUACAGAUGCAACUUUAUAAAAACAGAACAACAGCUUCUAGAAGCUACACCAAAAGAUUUUAAUGAACUGGUGAUUGACAUGAGGAAGAUUAUGUCAUAACACAUAACAAUUGAGUGGUCGAGCUGAGGUAUGUAAUUUACUGUAAUAAGAAACAGUUUUCUGCAAAAUGUAUGGAAGGUAACCUGAAUAUUUGUUGAAACUUUAACAAUCCCAUCAGCACCGAGAUCCUUGGCAACAGAUAAACGAUAGUCAUCCACAUCCACAAUGAUAAUUCUGGGUGCUCCAAAAGCACGAGCUGCUAGCAGUGUGACAAGGCCUAUGGGCCCUGCUCCCAUCACUAGCAUAUUUGUUUCUGGACCAAUAUUAGCCCGACGACAAGCAUGAACACCAACACUUAGGGGCUCACACAUUGCCCCUUCCUCCAAGCUCACAUUUUCUGGUAGUUUAAAACACAGAUCUGCAGGGUGCACC